GGGAACUUAGCUCAACGGGAGAGCAUUUGCCUUACAAGCAAAAGGUCGAUGGUUCGACACCAUCAGUUCCCACCA
This 75-nucleotide transfer RNA is filed under the name Clostridium sp. RNAcentral describes it as "tRNA-Val". It matches the Rfam family "tRNA". From Rfam's summary of the family: Transfer RNA (tRNA) molecules are approximately 80 nucleotides in length. Their secondary structure includes four short double-helical elements and three loops (D, anti-codon, and T loops). Lineage: Bacteria; Bacillati; Bacillota; Clostridia; Eubacteriales; Clostridiaceae. RNAcentral also lists the same sequence under 1 other name. The record is from RNAcentral.